Molecule: transfer RNA, 65 nt
Filed under: Margaritifera margaritifera (freshwater pearlshell mussel)
Lineage: Eukaryota; Metazoa; Mollusca; Bivalvia; Unionida; Margaritiferidae
Description: tRNA-Arg
Source: RNAcentral
GAACAAGAAACUAAAAGUGUUAUGGUUUCGACCCAUAAAUAUGGUUACACCAGUACCCUUGUUUU